UGAACCUGCGGAAGGAUCAUUAUCGAGUUAGGGUCUUAUAGGCCCGACCUCCAACCCUUUGUUUACUACACCAUGUUGCUUUGGCGGGCCCGCCUUUUGGGGCCGCCGGGGGUUUACAAGCCCCUGGUCAGUGUUCGCCAGUAGCCUUAUUAAAUUCUUUUAUAAUUAUGUUGUCUGAGUAUAAAUAUAAAUCGUUAAAACUUUCAACAACGGAUCUCUUGGUUCUGGCAUCGAUGAAGAACGCAGCGAAAUGCGAUAAGUAAUGCGAAUUGCAGAAUUCAGUGAGUCAUCGAAUCUUUGAACGCAUAUUGCGCCCUUUGGCAUUCCGAAGGGCAUGCCUGUUCGAGCGUCAUUAUCAACCAUCAAGCCUGGCUUGUCGUUGGACCUCUUUACCGCUGAAAUAUGUGGUAGGUCCGAAAGAUAAUGACGGCGUCGUGUUUGACCCUAGAUGCAACGAGCUUUUUAUAGCAUGCAUUGAAGUGGUCGGCCGACCCGGUCUUUAACCAUCAUUUUCUAAGGUUGACCUCGGAUCAGGUAGGAAUACCCGCUGAACUUAAGCAUAUCAAUAAGCGGAGG
RNAcentral lists this ribosomal RNA (576 nucleotides) under uncultured fungus. RNAcentral's name for it is "eukaryotic LSU rRNA". The stretch from base 199 to 352 matches the Rfam family "5.8S ribosomal RNA". Lineage: Eukaryota; Fungi. The record is from RNAcentral.